UUCUAAACCUUAUUGCAGCGGUAUCCCCGAUUUAAGCACUAUUUUUUGUUUUUUUAUGGUGUACUUGCUUGUUUCACAGGUUUCAUCGGGGAUUUAGCGAAAAGAAGGACUGACU
RNAcentral lists this small RNA (115 nucleotides) under Pedobacter alluvionis. Its description in RNAcentral is "Flavo-1 RNA". The record is from RNAcentral. Lineage: Bacteria; Pseudomonadati; Bacteroidota; Sphingobacteriia; Sphingobacteriales; Sphingobacteriaceae.